GCUGCUUACGCGAUAGAAAUCAUUUUUCGUUUUAUUUAUCGGUAAAUCAUGCAAUUCUUAGAUCAAUAUAAUUUCUAUUUGCCCUAAUCUUUCUUAACUGCGUGUAAUUCAAAUACUCGUAAACAGUAUCGUCUUGCGCAUUGCACGGCUUUCAAUACCUAAUACAUAUGUAAAAAAGAAAACACCGUUAAAUUGAAUUCUAAAAGAAGUAUUCUGACACGUAGAUGAGGUCAUAAUAUUGAUAUGUUUUUAAGGCCAAGAAUACUUAUAAUUCCUAAUGAAACCCGAAAGAGAAAAAAAGAUAAAGACGUAAGUUUGUGCGUCAACAGAAAUCCCAAUGGAGACUGUGAAAGUGUUACAUGAUACGUUACGCUAUUUUGGACACGUGUC
Bombus impatiens (common eastern bumble bee) is the source of this 390-nucleotide long non-coding RNA. RefSeq lists it as uncharacterized. NCBI's taxonomy places the organism in Eukaryota, Metazoa, Arthropoda, Insecta, Hymenoptera, Apidae. The transcript is spliced from 2 exons. The record is from RefSeq and is a predicted model, not a curated record.